AAACUGAGUACCGAAAGAUCGAACGGGGAGAUUCAGCGUCAAUGGCGUUGGCUCGGCGGUGGUCGGCGAUGUCGCCCGGCGGCGAUCCUCGCGGUCGUCUCGAAGCGGCACGUCACCGCUCUGCCGUGUCCGACGAUCGUCGUCGUGCACUUCUCCCCUAGUAGAACGUCGCGACCCGUUGGGUGCCGGUCUACGGCUCGGGCGGUAGCCUGUCACGCGGCCUCACCCGCGCGCGCGUCAGACCCCCGAUCGCCCGACCGGCUGCUCGGCGGUAUCAAUGUUUGGUGGUAUUCGGCCGCAGAUCUCUCGAAGAACUGCGUCGGGCACGUCGCAAGCUCGUCCAGUUCGUCCCUGGUGGUUACGGACCUGGCGCCGUCCCCGGGCCUGGACAGCUGUUGGCAGGCGAUGAGCUCCGACAGGCAAGCGAACGUCCUCGCGACGUUCGCCUCGUGGUACCGGUCCGCGACGCUACUGCUUUGGGUACUCUCAGGACCCGUCUUGAAACACGGACCAAGGAGUCUAACAUGUGCGCAAGUCAUUGGGACUCUGAAUCCUAAAGGCGCAAUGAAAGUGAAGGUCCGCCUCGCGCGGACCGAGGGAGGAUGGGCCGCGUAGCGAAGCGCGGCUCCGCACUCCCGGGGCGUCUCGCUCUCAUCGCGAGAAGAGGCGCACCCAGAGCGUACACGUUGGGACCCGAAAGAUGGUGAACUAUGCCUGGUCAGGACGAAGUCAGGGGAAACCCUGAUGGAGGUCCGUAGCGAUUCUGACGUGCAAAUCGAUCGUCGGAACUGGGUAUAGGGGCGAAAGACUAAUCGAACCAUCUAGUAGCUGGUUCCCUCCGAAGUUUCCCUCAGGAUAGCUGGCACUCGCUCGUUCGUCGCCACGCACGAACGCUUGCGAGUCUCAUCUGGUAAAGCGAAUGAUUAGAGGCCUUGGGGCCGAAACGACCUCAACCUAUUCUCAAACUUUAAAUGGGUGAGAUCUCUGGCUUGCUUGAACGCUGAAGCCACGAGAGAUCACGGAUCAGAGUGCCAAGUGGGCCAAUUUU
Molecule: ribosomal RNA, 1048 nt
Filed under: Ceramiopsis gestroi
Lineage: Eukaryota; Metazoa; Arthropoda; Insecta; Hymenoptera; Vespidae
Description: eukaryotic LSU rRNA
Rfam family: Eukaryotic large subunit ribosomal RNA (bases 510-1048)
Source: RNAcentral